This 331-nucleotide unclassified non-coding RNA is filed under the name soil metagenome. Its description in RNAcentral is "partial contains 5.8S ribosomal RNA, internal transcribed spacer 2, and large subunit ribosomal RNA". The stretch from base 1 to 120 matches the Rfam family "5.8S ribosomal RNA", at positions 35 to 154 of the family's 154-position model. The record is from RNAcentral.
GAUGAAGAACGCAGCGAAAUGCGAUAAGUAGUGUGAAUUGCAGAAUUCAGUGAAUCAUCGAAUCUUUGAACGCACAUUGCGCCCUUUGGUAUUCCUUAGGGCAUGCCUGUUCGAGCGUCAUUUAAACCUUCAAGCUAAGCUUGGUGUUGGGUGACUGUCCGCUUCACGGCGGACUCGCCUCAAAAUUAUUGGCGGCCGGUACAUUGGCUUCGAGCGCAGCAGAAACGCGAACUCGGGCCCGUCGUAUUGGCUCCCAGAAGCUAUCUUCACAAUUUUGACCUCGGAUCAGGUAGGGAUACCCGCUGAACUUAAGCAUAUCAAUAAGCGAGGA